This 253-nucleotide ribosomal RNA is filed under the name uncultured bacterium. RNAcentral's name for it is "partial 16S ribosomal RNA". It matches the Rfam family "Bacterial small subunit ribosomal RNA", at positions 524 to 776 of the family's 1533-position model. The record is from RNAcentral.
UACAGAGGUCUCAAGCGUUGUUCGGAUUCAUUGGGCGUAAAGGGUGCGUAGGCGGCGCGGUAAGUCGGGUGUGAAAUCUCGGGGCUUAACUCCGAAACUGCAUUCGAUACUGCCGUGCUUGAGGACUGGAGAGGAGACUGGAAUUUACGGUGUAGCGGUGAAAUGCGCAGAUAUCAGGAGGAACACCGGUGGCGAAGGCAGGUCUCUGGGCCACUACUGACGCUGAGAAGCGAAAGCAUGGGGAGCGAACAGG